CAGCAGCCGCCACGGGAAUACGAACCGAGCGAACGUUGUUCGGAAUCACUGGGCUUAAAGGGCGCGUAGGCGGGCUGUCAAGUUCGGGGUGAAAUCCCGCGGCUCAACCGCGGAACGGCCUCGAAUACUGACGGCCUCGAGGGGUGUAGGGGCGGGCGGAACUGAUGGUGGAGCGGUGAAAUGCGUUGAUAUCAUCAGGAACUCCGGUGGCGAAGGCGGCCCGCUGGACCCCAUCUGACGCUGAGGCGCAAAAGCCAGGGGAGCAAACGGGAUUAGAUACCCCCGUAGUCCCUGUCUCUUAUAC
This 304-nucleotide ribosomal RNA is filed under the name uncultured bacterium. RNAcentral describes it as "partial 16S ribosomal RNA". It matches the Rfam family "Bacterial small subunit ribosomal RNA", at positions 509 to 807 of the family's 1533-position model. The record is from RNAcentral.